GACGUAGGGCGCGAGCGUUGUCCGGAUUUAUUGGGCGUAAAGAGCUCGUAGGCGGCUUGUCGCGUCGGCUGUGAAAUCCCGUGGCUCAACUGCGGGUCUGCAGCCGAUACGGGCAGGCUAGAGUUCGGUAGGGGAGACUGGAAUUCCUGGUGUAGCGGUGAAAUGCGUAGAUAUCUGGAGGAACACCGGUGGCGAAGGCGGCGUUCUGGACUGCAACUGACACUGAAAAACGAAAGCCAGGGGAGCAAACGGG
RNAcentral lists this ribosomal RNA (253 nucleotides) under uncultured bacterium. RNAcentral's name for it is "partial 16S ribosomal RNA". It matches the Rfam family "Bacterial small subunit ribosomal RNA", at positions 524 to 776 of the family's 1533-position model. The record is from RNAcentral.